This 199-nucleotide long non-coding RNA is filed under the name Carica papaya (papaya). Its description in RNAcentral is "long non-coding RNA (CPAP_LNC008788)". The record is from RNAcentral. Lineage: Eukaryota; Viridiplantae; Streptophyta; Magnoliopsida; Brassicales; Caricaceae.
CGGCAGUAGGGAACCUCAGGUCCUCGGUUUUACACUGCAAACUAGCACUCAUUGCACUUGUUUAGCAGAACAAGAGACCUAAGCCAAUGACUCAGGCUCCUCCUCAGAUUCCAAUAACAUGACGUAGUAGGACUUGCCAUCACUGUAACAAAGAUAAUGAGGACCGACCAUGUUAUCGCCUCACCAAUAUUUGCCGUAU